Molecule: long non-coding RNA, 966 nt
Filed under: Medicago truncatula (barrel medic)
Lineage: Eukaryota; Viridiplantae; Streptophyta; Magnoliopsida; Fabales; Fabaceae
Description: lncRNA gene34006
Source: RNAcentral
GGGGGUGUCUCAUAUUUAGGUGUGUUUUAGAUAGAAAUAUCACGGGUAGUGAUUAGGUGCGAAAGCUGUAAACCGGAGGUAGUUUAUGUAGGACUUCAAACUAAUAUUUUAUAGUCGAUUUCCUUCAUAGCUUGAAUGCCCCCAGAUGUAGGUGACGUUGCACCUAACUAAUUAGCAAAUAACUUGUGCCAUUUAAUUUCUGCAAUUUACUUUAACUUGUUAUUUGUUAAUUGUGUUGCUAAGUUGUUAAUUACAUUGUGCUCGACAUUCCGUAUGUUUUGACAUCAUGUUCGACAUAUUUUACUACCUGCCAGAAUUUCAAUUAUCUUUGUUUUUAUCAUGAAUAUAAGUGGCAUUGUAGCCACACAAAAAUGUAUUAGGUUAAUGUAAUUUGUAUGCCUAGAAUUGUAUCUAGUAGACUCAUGUAUUUUUUUAUUUUUUUGAGACUCAUGUAUGCUUAUAAAUGCAUGAAUGAAUAUAAUUAUGUGAUAAUCAUGAUGUUAUCCUUAUUUAAUUCACAUGAUUACAUUUUUAUUUAUUACAAUUCAUCUGCAGUUCUUCAUGCCAGUGACGUUUUUACUCUCCUCCCUAUAUCUUGUUAUAAGUUUAUAGGAAACCAAAUUACAUUUAUAAAUUCAAAUUGCAGAAACACAUAGUCGCAACGCACUUUGAAAUACCAUGUGUCGCACAUAUCUGAUCACAAUCUCCGUCAUUCUGGCAUCGAUAAAUAUAUUUUACUGCAAUGUAAACCAUCAAAUAUAAUUAGGGUCAAUAAAAGAGACGAAAGUUUGUGUGUAAAAUAAUAAAGAAAAUAAUGAAUAAAAUUUGAGAGGAUGAAAAAAAAUAUACGAUAAUCAUCUGAGGCUGCAUCGUGAAGCAGAAAAAGACAUAUGAUCAUAAUAAUAUAAGCAACCUUGAGAAUUGCAGUCAUGUUUCUUCUCCUUUGGAUGUAACAAAUAGAAAAUU